This 448-nucleotide ribosomal RNA is filed under the name uncultured Streptococcus sp. RNAcentral's name for it is "bacterial SSU rRNA". It matches the Rfam family "Bacterial small subunit ribosomal RNA", at positions 933 to 1382 of the family's 1533-position model. The record is from RNAcentral. Lineage: Bacteria; Bacillati; Bacillota; Bacilli; Lactobacillales; Streptococcaceae.
UGGAGCAUGUGGUUUAAUUCGAAGCAACGCGAAGAACCUUUACCAGGUCUUGACAUCCCGAUGCUAUUUCUAGAGAUAGAAAGUUACUUCGGUACAUCGGUGACAGGUGGUGCAUGGUUGUCGUCAGCUCGUGUCGUGAGAUGUUGGGUUAAGUCCCGCAAUGAGCGCAACCCCUAUUGUUAGUUGCCAUCAUUCAGUUGGGCACUCUAGCGAGACUGCCGGUAAUAAACCGGAGGAAGUGGGGGUGACGUCAAAUCAUCAUGCCCCUUAUGACCUGGGCUACACACGUGCUACAAUGGUUGGUACAACGAGUUGCGAGUCGGUGACGGCGAGCUAGUCUCUUAAAGCCAAUCUCAGUUCGGAUUGUAGGCUGCAACUCGCCUACAUGAAGUCGGAAUCGCUAGUAAUCGCGGAUCAGCACGCCGCGGUGAAUACGUUCCCGGGCCUU